GAUGAACGCUGGCGGCGUGCCUAAUACAUGCAAGUCGAACGAGGAACUUUAAUCUUCGGAUGAAAGUUUCCUAGCGGCGAACGGGUGAGUAACGCGUUGGUGACCUGCCCCAAAGUGGGGGAUAACAGUUCGAAAGGACUGCUAAUACCGCAUAAGAUCAAUGGGAUUAGAUGCCUAUUGAUUAAAGGCGAAAGUCGCUUUGGGAGGGGCCUGCGUCCCAUCAGCUUGUUGGUAGGGUAAUAGCCUACCAAGGCUAAGACGGGUAGGGGACCUGAGAGGGUGGCCCCCCACACUGGCACUGAAACACGGGCCAGACACCUACGGGUGGCAGCAGUAGGGAAUAUUGGACAAUGGGCGAAAGCCUGAUCCAGCAACGCCGCGUGCGCGAUGAAGGCCUUCGGGUUGUAAAGCGCUUUUAGGGGAGAUGAGAAAGGACAGUAUCCUCUGAAUAAGCCUCGGCGAACUACGUG
This 470-nucleotide ribosomal RNA is filed under the name uncultured bacterium. RNAcentral's name for it is "bacterial SSU rRNA". It matches the Rfam family "Bacterial small subunit ribosomal RNA", at positions 28 to 507 of the family's 1533-position model. The record is from RNAcentral.